GACGAACGCUGGCGGCGUGCUUAACACAUGCAAGUCGAACGGAAAGGCCCUGCUUGCCGGGUACCCGAGUGGCGAACGGGUGAGUAACACGUGGGUGAUCUGCCCUGCACUUCGGGAUAAGCCUGGGAAACUGGGUCUAAUACCGGAUAGGAGCCAUUUUUAGUGUGAUGGUUGGAAAGUUUUUUCGGUGUAGGAUGAGCUCGCGGCCUAUCAGCUUGUUGGUGGGGUAAUGGCCUACCAAGGCGGCGACGGGUAGCCGGCCUGAGAGGGUGGACGGCCACAUUGGGACUGAGAUACGGCCCAGACUCCUACGGGAGGCAGCAGUGGGGAAUAUUGCACAAUGGGCGCAAGCCUGAUGCAGCGACGCCGCGUGGGGGAGGACGGCCUUCGGGUUGUAAACUCCUUUCGCUAGGGACGAAGCUUUUUGUGACGGUACCUAGAUAAGAAGCACCGGCUAACUACGUG
Molecule: ribosomal RNA, 465 nt
Filed under: uncultured bacterium
Lineage: Bacteria
Description: partial 16S ribosomal RNA
Rfam family: Bacterial small subunit ribosomal RNA
Source: RNAcentral